UACGUAGGGGGCAAGCGUUGUCCGGAUUCAUUGGGCGUAAAGAGCGUGUAGGCGGCCAGGUAGGUCGGUUGUGAAAACUGGAGGCUCAACCUUCAGACGUCGACCGAAACCAUCUGGCUAGAGUCCGGGAGAGGAGAGUGGAAUUCCUGGUGUAGCGGUGAAAUGCGCAGAUAUCAGGAAGAACACCCGUGGCGAAAGCGGCUCUCUGGAACGGUACUGACGCUGAGAUGCGAAAGCGUGGGGAGCGAACAGG
Molecule: ribosomal RNA, 253 nt
Filed under: uncultured bacterium
Lineage: Bacteria
Description: partial 16S ribosomal RNA
Rfam family: Bacterial small subunit ribosomal RNA
Source: RNAcentral